GCUCCCGACACGCCACGCGCCCCCCUGCGCCCUGGCCGGCCCUGCGCCCUGGCUACCCCAGCCGCCCGCGCGGCCCGCCGCCCCCGCCGCGCCGCCGCCCCCCCUGCGGCCCCCGCCCCCGCCGCGGGGAUGAGCAGGAUUCGCGGGAAAGGAGCAGCAAGCAACAAGAUUGGUGAAUUAUCGCGUGCGUGCAGUACAACCAGUGAUUCGAAUGUGGUAUUUAUCCUUUUUACCUGAUUCAAUUCAGCAUGAUUGUUUUAUAUUUUUUUCAUGCAGGCUGCAAUAUGCUUUUACUUCUUAAAUCCAUGGAAAUACAUACAUAGCUAAGAAAGGAUUGAGAUGCAGUAAUUAGUGUGAUUCAAACUUCUGCGUGGCUUACUUGAUAUGGGAAGUAUACGGAUAUAUUUGUGUAUAGUGCAUCUAUAAUGUAUACAUUGUUACUCAGUGAGUUCUGUCCUGGUGUUGCUGUUGAUCUCAAUGUAUUAACUUGCUUCUUCAGCCAUUCGCCUAUUAUUGAGAAGCUUAUAUUCCAGCUUUCUAAGGUAUGGUAUUUUUUUAGACAUGUGGCAUGUGUUAUUGAAUAUCUUUUACCAGCUUUCUAAGUUAUUUGCCAUUGGAACAACCAUUGGUGUGCAAGUUGACAAGAGAAUUCAACAGCUUUUAGACAUCUUGAGUACUUAUGGCAUGCCACUCGAGCAAGUAAAUAUCCAACGAACAAAUAGAGCUUCUGGACCUUGAUGUACCUUUAAAUCUUCAAGUACAGAAUAAGGAGACCUGGGUUAUUGAUGGAUCAACUAGUGUCCCUAACCAUAACAUUGGGGCAACCUUGUAAUGGGAUGUUUCUAUCUUCCUUCUAGAGAAAUGUCACUUCCACUCAAACAACCAAACGACCGACUUGCUAGUAUGACUUGUAUAGAUUCAGCUGGACAAAUUAUAUAGCUUCUAUUCCAGUUUUUGUUGAUGGAUUAGCAAGACAAUUUAUCAGAUAAGUCAUGUAGACAGCCGUGAUUGAACUUUUCUUUCAGGCUGGUCGGUCUGUAAAAUUAUACUCCGAAACUUUCUAUUGAUCUAUUGCUUGGUGUUAAUUCACGCAUUGCAA
Panicum hallii is the source of this 1099-nucleotide long non-coding RNA. RefSeq lists it as uncharacterized. Lineage: Eukaryota; Viridiplantae; Streptophyta; Magnoliopsida; Poales; Poaceae. The record is from RefSeq and is a predicted model, not a curated record. The transcript is spliced from 3 exons.